RNAcentral lists this ribosomal RNA (279 nucleotides) under uncultured bacterium. Its description in RNAcentral is "partial 16S ribosomal RNA". It matches the Rfam family "Bacterial small subunit ribosomal RNA", at positions 506 to 784 of the family's 1533-position model. The record is from RNAcentral.
UGCCAGCCGCCGCGGUAAUACGGAGGGUCCAAGCGUUGUUCGGAAUUACUGGGCGUAAAGAGCAUGUAGGCGGCUAGGCAAGUCGAAUGUGAAAUCCCCGAGCUCAACUCGGGAACUGCAUCCGAAACUGCCUGGCUAGAGUCUCGGAGAGGAAGGCAGAAUUCCCAAUGUAGGGGUGAAAUCCGUAGAUAUUGGGAGGAAUACCAGUGGCGAAGGCGGCUUUCUGGACCAAUACUGACACUGAGGAACGAAAGCAUGGGUAGCGAAGAGGAUUAGAUA